Long non-coding RNA from Lutra lutra (Eurasian river otter), 1281 nucleotides. RefSeq lists it as uncharacterized. The record is from RefSeq and is a predicted model, not a curated record. Lineage: Eukaryota; Metazoa; Chordata; Mammalia; Carnivora; Mustelidae. The transcript has 4 exons.
CCUUCAGCGGGACGUUUAUUUCCGCCCCGGGGACUUCUGGGACUUGUAGUGUCGCCUAGGAGCCUCGGAGGGCGGAGCAGGGCGGCGAUGGAGAACCCUCAGCCCUAGCCUGGAGCUGGCUGCCGGAGAUGCCGCCGCAUAGCCGGGAAGAUCUGCGGGGGUGGAGAUUUGAGUCUGACGAGCGGAGGAAUGCCUGGGCUCUAACUGCGGCCAGGCUUAGUGGGGCAGGAGAGAGAGGCAAAGAUACUCAACCAGCUUUAGCAUUUACUGUGGAUAAACAAGAGAAGGUUCGAGAGGAUUUAGGUCCCCUUGCAGAGCCUCUCUGGGAAUGAAGAGUUAUGGCAGCAGAUUCCACAAGACCCACAUCCUGCUUGUGACCAUGUGGAUGUAAAGGACCUUAUAAAGAUGAACAUUAAGGGAAGCCACAAGAUGAUCAGAUAAGGACCCAGACUAUUGAUGAUUCUAAACUAAGAUGAGUGGUAAUGACGAUUGUAUUUCCCUGGACUUCCUGCUGGCCGAUAUAGGCGAUACAUGGGCAAUUUCUAAUAUUUCAUGCUACAAUUGAUCAAUUAAUAAGUAGCAACCCAUUUUUGCCUUAGAAAGUAAUGUGGCUCUCCCAGGUUGAUCUUGAUAGAAGCUGGGACAUAUUUAGCUGACUUGGCUCCAGAUUGGAAGUUGUAGUUGUGGUCACUAUGUUGCUUAGGACAACAGAACAUAUUUGGUCCAAGCCCUUACCUGUAAAAUUAAUUAGAGUAGCCCACAGGGUAGCCCACAAUCCUGAGAAUGCUUAGCUGGAUACUGAAAGGUCAGAGGGUCGAGUUGUAGGGAACAGCCCCACCAUGGCAACUUGGCCACCUUGCAUGUACCCAUGCAGGCAAAGGCUUGAAAUAUAGCUUAUUUGAGUCUCGGCAGAAUGUCUUAUGAUUCUCCCCAAACAUGAGAGAAUGGGAGACCAUUAAGGAGAGAGAUAAGACUAUCUCCCAUUUGCCUCUAUAUGUCAGACCUUGGGAGACUGUUUUGCGAGUUUCUCAUCACCAUCCAGGUUCUGGUGAAGUAUGGGGCUUUCUACCCAAUGUCCACCUCUCAGGAUAGAGCUGAAACAAAACAAAACAAAAGUUAUUAUAAAAAACAUUGAAAAAAAAUAUUGAACUACUUAGCUGUAGUCUAGGACUGACUCCUCAGCAAUCCGGGAUACCCCAUUUCAGUCACCUGGCCCCUUUAGCUUAAUCAAGGUGUUAGCUGGUCUGAGUUCUCAUUUAGUGGAUCUGGAAAAAAUCUACU